UCAGGAGAGUACACAGAGGACACACGAUAACACAUACACACAGUGCAAUAGAACAUGUCAGACUCAGAGACCACCGCUCCCGCCGAGACCCCCGUCCCUGCCGCCUGUGAGACAAUCAAGGCUGAUCUGGACAAAUGUAUAAAGGAGAACGGAGAAGCGGCGUGUAAGGAGCUGAUGGAGGCGUUUGCUGCCUGUGUAAAGAGCAGUGCUGAGGGCUCAUGAGGAGCUCCACACACAGGACAUGUCCACUGCACUGAGUCCUCCACCUUCCCAGCAUUCCCUUCAGCACUGGACUGAAUGACUCUGGUGGGAUUUGGCAGCAGAACCCAUGUGCCCCGUGCCCCCCCCCGAGAGCUGAAACUGAAUCUUCCCGCCCCUCCUGUCCUUUGCAGCCAAAUGCGUCAAUCUAAUCUGUAGACAGUUUGGGAAAGCCCAUGGGUUUUAUGUAAAUUGUCUGUUCUAUUCACUUAAUGGUGAAAUAAAGUUUAAAAGAUUGAUAAGA
This is a long non-coding RNA of Colossoma macropomum (tambaqui), 502 nucleotides long. RefSeq lists it as uncharacterized. The transcript is spliced from 3 exons. The record is from RefSeq and is a predicted model, not a curated record. NCBI's taxonomy places the organism in Eukaryota, Metazoa, Chordata, Actinopteri, Characiformes, Serrasalmidae.